Lagopus muta (rock ptarmigan) is the source of this 2464-nucleotide RNA transcript. It is a transcript of the gene named tyrosyl-DNA phosphodiesterase 1, with no coding region annotated. Lineage: Eukaryota; Metazoa; Chordata; Aves; Galliformes; Phasianidae. The transcript has 17 exons. The record is from RefSeq and is a predicted model, not a curated record.
CCGCCUCCCUCAUCUCCUCCUCCUGAACUCGGUCCCCGGCCCGAGCGCCUGGGGAAGGUGCCGUCCUUCCGGAACGGGAAGAGGCGGGCACAGGCUGGCGCGAAGAGGUGCUGGGCAACAUGCUUCAAGAAGGCGCCCACGGGCGGUGGACUGUGUCUAGCAGUGAGGACAGCACUGAAGAGAAUUCUGACAGCGAAAAGCCCUCGACGUCCUCGCUGCCGUGUGCCCCGCGCAGUGAAGUGAGCGUGCCGCAGUACCCCUGCUCUGAGGCCAGGAGGGCCGCUCACAAAAGGAAGGCUUCUCCACUGAAGUUCGUUGACACACCUGCUGCGCAUACACCUCCUGUAGAAAAGCAGAGGCCUGGCCAGGAGGGCUUGGGAUGGUGCCUUUCUAGUAGCGAUGAAGAGCCUGAAGACAAGGUGAAGCAUGCCAGCAAGGAAACACCAAAAGAGGAAAAGUGCGAUGCACCCAGAGAGCAACCUCGGAGUCAUUGCAAAGAUGAACAUUCAAAGGAUGUGAAAGCAGAGGACUAUAAUGAAGCACCUGGUGAACCCCAAGAUACCUGGGAUUUGCUGAGUGGAGGGAACCCCUUUGGGUUUUUUCUCACCAAAGUUAGGGGAAUUGAGCAGAGCUAUAAUUCUGGAGCCCUGCACAUAAAAGAUAUUUUGUCUCCUCUUUUUGGGACCCUUGUAUCUUCUGCUCAGUUUAACUACUGUAUAGACGUGGCAUGGCUCGUACGACAGUAUCCACAGGAAUACAGGAAGAAGCCAUUGCUGAUAGUUCAUGGUGAAAAGAGAGAGUCCAAAGCUGAACUGCUUGCACAAGCACGCCCUUUUGAGAACAUUAGCUUCUGUCAGGCCAAGCUGGAUAUUGCAUUUGGAACUCACCAUACGAAAAUGAUGUUGUUAUUAUAUGAAGAAGGUUUUCGAGUUGUGAUACAUACAUCCAAUCUUAUUGCUGAAGACUGGCACCAGAAAACUCAGGGAAUAUGGCUAAGCCCUUUAUAUCCAAGGCUACCUCAGGGAUCAUCUGAUUCUGCUGGUGAAUCUGAAACUAAUUUUAAAUCUGACUUAAUAAGUUACUUGAUGGCUUACAAUUCUCCUGUGCUCAAGGAAUGGAUAGAUCUGAUUCGAGAACAUGAUUUAUCAGAGACAAGAGUGUAUCUGCUUGGUUCUACCCCUGGACGAUAUCAAGGUAUUGAUAAAGAGAAGUGGGGUCAUCUUAGGCUCAGAAAGCUUUUGAAAGAGCAUACUUCAUCAAUAGCAGCACAGGAAUCUUGGCCUGUUGUAGGACAGUUCUCAAGCAUUGGUUCCCUGGGAGCAGAUGGGUCCAAAUGGCUGUGCUCAGAAUUCCAGGAGAGCCUGGUGGCUGCAGGCAGUGGUGUGGCAGCUCUUCUUAAAUGUGAUGUUCCAAUUCAUUUGGUUUAUCCUACUGUGAACAAUGUGAGGCAAAGUCUGGAAGGCUAUCCUGCUGGUGGUUCCCUUCCAUACAGCAUACAGACAGCACAGAAACAGCUGUGGUUACAUUCCUAUUUUCACAAAUGGUCAGCAGAAGUCUCUGGUCGAAGUCAUGCCAUGCCUCACAUCAAGACAUACAUGAGACCUUCUCAUGACUUCCAGAAGAUUGCAUGGUUUUUAGUUACAAGUGCCAAUCUAUCUAAAGCAGCAUGGGGAGCUCUGGAGAAAAAUGGCACCCAACUGAUGAUCCGUUCAUAUGAACUUGGAGUCCUUUUCUUGCCUUCAGCAUUUGGAUUGGACAACGGUUACUUCCAUGUGAAAGGGAAAAUGCUUUCAGAAGGUAAAGAUUCAGCAACAUCUUUUCCUGUACCAUUUGAUCUGCCUCCAGAACAGUAUGGAAGCAAAGACUUUCUGGAUUUGGCUGUACAUACUGUACUGCCAUCUGUCAUACGCCUGAGAACAUGAAGUUUUAAGAUGGCUUGCGUACAUGCUAUUGACCUACACAAUAUACUGUAUUUGCAAAGUCCUGUAUUUUUAACAUCAGACCAACCGUGGAUUUGGAAUAUUCCUUACACUAGUGCCCCUGAUACGCAUGGAAAUAUGUGGGUUCCGUCAUGAAUGUUUCCAGUGUUUUGUGAUGUUUCACUUGCUGACACUGAGCCUGCAAGACUAAUGCAAGACUGCUUAUUUCUUUCUUAAAGCUGUAAUGUCUGCUAAAAAGGCUAUGUUGAAGUUGAAAGGUAAAUGUUGAUAAUGGAGAGAUUCUUGAAGAAUUCGUAACAAUAAAUGAACUUGUAACUGCAUUUUUAAAAGUAACUUUUUGUAUGUCUUCUCAUUAGUUCUCUUUCCAGUAUACUUUUCAAGACUGAAAGCAGACUGUCCUCAGAGAUUCUCUCAGUAUUUUUAGCAGUAGUGGAUUUAAAUGUUAUUGAGAGUCUACCAGUUGGCCUCAGCACCUCUUAAAAAAAAUUGUGUUAAGUUUAAAUAAAGUCAACCUUGUUUAUGUA